This 253-nucleotide ribosomal RNA is filed under the name uncultured bacterium. RNAcentral describes it as "partial 16S ribosomal RNA". It matches the Rfam family "Bacterial small subunit ribosomal RNA", at positions 524 to 776 of the family's 1533-position model. The record is from RNAcentral.
UACGAAGGGGGCUAGCGUUGCUCGGAAUUACUGGGCGUAAAGCGCGCGCAGGCGGUUCUUCAAGUCAGAGGUGAAAGCCCAGAGCUCAACUCUGGAAUGGCCUUUGAGACUAGAGAACUAGGGUACGGGAGAGGUGAGUGGAAUUCCGAGUGUAGAGGUGAAAUUCGUAGAUAUUCGGAAGAACACCAGUGGCGAAGGCGGCUCACUGGCCCGUUACCGACGCUCAGGCGCGACAGCGUGGGGAGCAAACAGG